This is a long non-coding RNA of Pungitius pungitius (ninespine stickleback), 876 nucleotides long. RefSeq lists it as uncharacterized. The transcript has 3 exons. Lineage: Eukaryota; Metazoa; Chordata; Actinopteri; Perciformes; Gasterosteidae. The record is from RefSeq and is a predicted model, not a curated record.
AGAGCUCCACGUCCCGCCCCUUUCACAGUGAAGCUUUUGUAACACAACUUUGGUAUUACCGGAAAUAACGCUGAGGACCAUCGAAACUCGACGCAGGAGAAUUUCUCACCAAAGAAUUAAAAUAAGGACGAAGAACCAUGGUCUGAUUGAUAAUAAAAGCUAGCUCCUAUGUGGUCCGGAAGAUAAGGGCUUCCAUCGCUGCUGGAGAGCAGCUGGAGAAGCCCAAAAUCACACCACGUAGAGCUAGUGCUGAAAUGAAAGCGGAGGAUGGGUUGGGCGGAGGCGCCCCGUUUGUGGCUCUGAUUCCAGCUCCGAAAGAUGUCAGCGGGGCGCAGGGCUCGAGGGGCCCCUCAAAGACAGCUGGGCAGAAUUGUGGCUCCUGACGUUAAAGACCCUGGACACUGGAGACGGUCACUGCAAUAGGAAAAUAGAAUUCCUCAUCUUUGUAUACAGUAUUUACUUUGAAUGACGCAGAAAAUUCUCAGUACACACAGAAUCAUUUAGAUGCAACGGUCAACUUUAAGUUGUUCAAACUAAAAUCUUCCAAACAAACUCAUCAAGACCCUAAUGUCACUGUUUUCCUGUGUCCAUGCUGCUCCCAGGGGACAACGUCUAGCUCUUACCGACACAUAUUCACGCCCAGCUUUCACUUUCCGGAAGAAAAAGACGAAUAACACUAUUGUUGACUCGUUUGCCUUUGAUGGGCCACACGGCACCUGAAUGUAAUGGACACAUCCGUGUUAUUAAAUGUAUGUGGUACUGCAGUGUUUGAAGGCAGGCUCACCAACCUCCUUCUGGGGGCCGAGCUCGCCUGAUGUUUCUGUUGCUGUAUCAAUAAAUACAUAAUAAUAUAAGAGCGUUGCUACAUGGCUGAUG